RNAcentral lists this ribosomal RNA (406 nucleotides) under uncultured bacterium. RNAcentral describes it as "bacterial SSU rRNA". It matches the Rfam family "Bacterial small subunit ribosomal RNA", at positions 355 to 776 of the family's 1533-position model. The record is from RNAcentral.
UGGGGAAUAUUGCGCAAUGGGCGAAAGCCUGACGCAGCGACGCCGCGUGCGGGAUGAAGGCCUUCGGGUUGUAAACCGCUGUCGGGAGGGACGAAUUCAUGACGGUACCUCCAAAGGAAGCACCGGCUAACUCUGUGCCAGCAGCCGCGGUAAUACAGAGGGUGCGAGCGUUGUCCGGAAUCACUGGGCGUAAAGGGCGCGUAGGCGGCCUGGUAAGUAGGGGGUGAAAUCGUGCGGCUCAACCGUACGACUGCCUUCUAAACUGUCAGGCUGGAGCACAGUAGAGGCAGGUGGAAUUCCCGGUGUAGCGGUGGAAUGCGUAGAGAUCGGGAAGAACAUCGGUGGCGAAGGCGGCCUGCUGGGCUGUUGCUGACGCUGAGGCGCGAAAGCGUGGGGAGCAAACAGG